UACCUCGUCAACCAUCGGACGUGCUCGUGGCUCGACCAUCCACCUGGUGUACGGUUAUCGCGCGGCAAGAGAAACCGACCGAAAGAAAUGGGUUGAGGUGUAGAACUAGAAGGAGGGUAGGGGUUGUAAGUGCGGAGGAGGAGGGACUUCGUUAGGGUGCGGCGGUACCGGAGCUCGUGUGGGGAAGUGUAGCAGAGGUGUCGGAGGAAGGUCGAGAGAAGAGCGAACGGAGGCCCUCCAGGGCACGAGAAGAAGUUCCUCCUGAAACGUAAGUUCCUUCCCCGGUAGAAGUUUCGACGGACGGACUAGUUACUACUGUGUGACAACCUUGUUGAACCGAUAGAGGACCUACAUCAACUUCACAUGAAGUUCGAUAGCCUACUCGACAGCGAUAAGACCUUCGGCUUUGGCACCAUACACCAAUAUACCCGGGAGAUAGAGGGUUUCGGGUAAGAGAGUCGGAGCGAGUCGGGGGAGGAACAAUCAAAGGGUCGGGUAAGAGUGGGAGAGGGUAAGGGAGUAGGGGAGCAGGUUAGGUUAGCUGGACCCGCUUGUCGGGAUGGCUAUCCGCUCUCGCGGCGGCGGCCGCUUAGGGAAGUAGGAAACGGAGCUAGCGAUGGAAAUAGGAGACGGAGCUAGCGAGGGAGGGUACAACGGAGGAACAGGGCGACAAGAUACGGUCGGCUGCUUAAGGAGGUCGCGUACGUGUGCCCUUUCUCUAGUGAACCUCAUCUUGAUGGGUGUAUAUUCUUAACCGUCCUUUCCCCUACCGGUGCCAAGUGAGUCAGCGUCUACUACCGCUCCGCUGUUUCUGCAUGUCACACGGGUCGAGUAGGGCACAAGCUAACCCGACCCCGCGAGUACCGCCGCGACUUUCCUUAGAGGAUC
This 888-nucleotide ribosomal RNA is filed under the name Triticum aestivum (bread wheat). RNAcentral's name for it is "partial small subunit ribosomal RNA". Lineage: Eukaryota; Viridiplantae; Streptophyta; Magnoliopsida; Poales; Poaceae. The record is from RNAcentral.